Molecule: transfer RNA, 87 nt
Filed under: Candidatus Pelagibacter sp.
Lineage: Bacteria; Pseudomonadati; Pseudomonadota; Alphaproteobacteria; Candidatus Pelagibacterales; Candidatus Pelagibacteraceae
Description: tRNA-Leu
Rfam family: tRNA
About the family: Transfer RNA (tRNA) molecules are approximately 80 nucleotides in length.
Source: RNAcentral
GCGGCCAUGCUGAAAUUGGUAGACAGGCUUGGUUGAGGGCCAAGUGGGAAUUUUCCUUUGAGAGUUCAAGUCUCUCUGGCCGCACUA